GCAUAUCAAUAAGCGGAGGAAAAGAAACCAACAGGGAUUGCCCUAGUAACGGCGAGUGAAGCGGCAACAGCUCAAAUUUGAAAUCUGGCGCAAGCCCGAGUUGUAAUUUGUAGAGGAUGCUUCUGGGCAGCGACCGAUCUAAGUUCCUUGGAACAGGACGUCAUAGAGGGUGAGAAUCCCGUAUGUGACCGGCCCGCGCCCUUUACGUAGCUCCUUCGACGAGUCGAGUUGUUUGGGAAUGCAGCUCUAAAUGGGAGGUAAAUUUCUUCUAAAGCUAAAUACCGGCCAGAGACCGAUAGCGCACAAGUAGAGUGAUCGAAAGAUGAAAAGUACUUUGGAAAGAGAGUUAAAAAGCACGUGAAAUUGUUGAAAGGGAAGCGCCUGCAACCAGACUUCGCGGCAGUGUUCCGCCGGUCUUCUGACCGGUCCAUUCUCUGUCGCGAGGCCAUCAUCGUCUGGGCCCGCCGGAUAAGACCUUAGGAAUGUAGCUCACCUUCGGGGGAGUGUUAUAGCCUAGGGUGAUGCGGCGAGGCUCGGGCGAGGUCCGCGCUUCGGCAAGGAUGAUGGCGUAAUGGUUGUCGGCGGCCCGUCUUGAAACACGGACCAAGGAGUCUAACAUCUAUGCGAGUGUUCGGGUGUCAAACCCCUACGCGUAAUGAAAGUGAACGGAGGUGGGAACCGCAAGGUGCACCAUCGACCGAUCCUGAUGUCCUCGGAUGGAUUUGAGUAAGAGCAUAGCUGUUGGGACCCGAAAGAUGGUGAACUAUGCCUGAAUAGGGUGAAGCCAGAGGAAACUCUGGUGGAGGCUCGCAGCGGUUCUGACGUGCAAAUCGAUCGUCAAAUUUGGGUAUAGGGGCGAAAGACUAAUCGAACCAUCUAGUAGCUGGUUCCUGCCGAAG
RNAcentral lists this ribosomal RNA (899 nucleotides) under Septoria stachydicola. RNAcentral's name for it is "LSU rRNA". It matches the Rfam family "Eukaryotic large subunit ribosomal RNA", at positions 38 to 966 of the family's 3401-position model. Lineage: Eukaryota; Fungi; Ascomycota; Dothideomycetes; Mycosphaerellales; Mycosphaerellaceae. The record is from RNAcentral.